CCGCACCUACGGGGCGAGCAGUGAGGAAUAUUGGUCAAUGGGCGGAAGCCUGAACCAGCCAAGUCGCGUGAGGGAAUAAGGCCCUACGGGUCGUAAACUUCUUUUGCCGGGAAGCAAGGGCGGGGACGUGUCCCGGCCCGGAGAGUACCCGGAGAAAAAGCAUCGGCUAACUCCGUGCCAGCAGCCGCGGUAAUACGGAGGAUGCGAGCGUUAUCCGGAUUUAUUGGGUUUAAAGGGUGCGUAGGCGGGCUUUUAAGUCAGCGGUAAAACUUCAGGGCUCAACCCCGUCCGGCCGUUGAAACUGG
RNAcentral lists this ribosomal RNA (305 nucleotides) under uncultured bacterium. RNAcentral's name for it is "bacterial SSU rRNA". It matches the Rfam family "Bacterial small subunit ribosomal RNA", at positions 331 to 636 of the family's 1533-position model. The record is from RNAcentral.